Amphiprion ocellaris (clown anemonefish) is the source of this 5880-nucleotide long non-coding RNA. RefSeq lists it as uncharacterized. NCBI's taxonomy places the organism in Eukaryota, Metazoa, Chordata, Actinopteri, Pomacentridae. The transcript has 3 exons. The record is from RefSeq and is a predicted model, not a curated record.
CUGUUGUAUUGAAUUAGAGUUCACAGUUGUACCUAAUAAAGUGGAUAAUCGCAGGGGUGGAUCUACUGGGGUGGCAUAGGGUGGCAACUGCCACCCCUAGAAGAUGCCUUGCCACCCCGGCUGCCACCCCAGUUCUGAACAAUCUAAUUCAAAAAUAUGUAUAUGAAAGGUUGUGGCCGUAAAGAGCGAAAGUCCAGGAAAGACGAAUAACGAGUGAAACUCCGAUGUCCGAGUGCUUUCGAAUGCACCAUGCUGAUGUCACGUCCUGUACAGUCUAUGCUGCUACAGAUAGGAGGUGACACGCCCCCCUGAGGGAGCUGCUCUUAGACCUCACUCAUGUGGAUGACAGCUGGACUUCGGUGUGACAGAGAAGAAGAAGGGAACCACCAGCAGCUUUUCCCAGCCUAAAAGAAGAGAGGAGGAAGAACAUCCCAGAGAGGAGAUGGAGGAGGAAGAGUUCAGAGAAAGAAAUGAAGGCAUGGAGAGCUCAGACAGAGAAAGCCUCUGUAAAGCGACUGCAGCUCCUUCCUGGUGAACUGGGUCUGGGCUUGGAGCUGCUCGAGGCCUUCAGGCUGGUGACGCACCAUCGAGAGCUCAAGAUCGCUGUCACAGCUGUCUGUCGCAUGGAAACAGAGGAAACAGGGAGAGGUGGAGGGCAGGAGGAGGAAAAGAGGGAGGAUAUAGUGGUAAGACAAGAAGGAAAGAAAAAGGAAAUGGAGGCCAGUGGAGGAGUUGAAAAUAGUGGAAAAUCAAGAAGAUAAAUAAAUGAAAAUGAUGUCAAAUAACUCAAAAUGCUCACCAUCUUUAUAGAAACGUAAAAUUAAAAACAAACCAAAGUGGAGGGGUUGAAGAAGGAAAGGUGGGAGAAGGGAAAAGGUGGGAGAUACAAUGGCAUGAGAAGAGUGUACAGCGUCAGACUAAAACAAGAAAAUGAGACUGAAGGAAAGACAGAAAAGUGGUAAAACAAACUCAAGGAACUUGUGGCAAGAAGAGAUAUUGCAAGGAAACUGGAGCGAUACGAGGGGGAUAAAGCAGAUUUAGUGCAUCAGAGCAGUUAGAUAGGGAUAAAAACCUUCUUCAGUGUGGACACUUUGCUGUCACAUUGUUAGAAAUAACGCCAUCAUUCUCAGUUUCAUCAUUUUCUGCAGUACUCAUUAGUUAUGAAUCAUUUGGCAUAGUGUAAAGGUCAGUGCAAUAGGUGGAUUUUGUGCUAAAUCCAUGAGAAAAAUUAAACAUCUAUCAUGAGUUCAGAUUUUUAAAUUACCAUGCCUUAAAGAAUUCACCAAUAUUAGUGUUCGUGUUAGAAAAUAUUAUCUCAAAAUCUAUAGAAAAUAUUAGGGUUGUCUGAUAAUAUUGGCCCACCGAUACUAUGGGCUCGAUAUUGGCAUAAAAAUGUGAUAUCGGUCAAUAUCGUUAUCGGUCAUUUGAGAUUGCAUUCAGUGGGGCAUCACAGUAAAAUUAGGCAUGAUGUGUUAAUUCCAUGUGAUGUUACCUAAAAUUAGUUAAAUAGCCCACGUAUAUCGGUAUUGGUUGAUAUUGGAAUCGGAAAUUAAGAGUUGGACAAUAUCGGCAUAUCGGUUAUCGGUUGGCAAAAAAGCCAAUAUUGGACAUCCCUAGAAAAUAUAUUUAAAAAACAUAAUGCUAUCAAUUAAAUUCAUGUUUGUCUCUAAGGUUUAUUGUGAAUUUUGUCUCUUUUUUGUCAAAUGAAUUACACUCAACAUAGUAAAGGGCAUGUAGAGAGACACACCAUAACUUUACUGUAUGUGGUUCAUAUGUCGGAUUGCUGGAUUAUUCACGUGUAUUAUUAUAUCAAUAUUACAUUUAAAAAAUAUCAUGCUCAUAUCAAUAUCUGGUAUACUGCGACAUCCCUAAUAACUUCUAGCUUUGAGUGGUUGUGUUACCUGACAUAUAUGCAACUAUAUGUAGCUCCAUUUAUGACAUUUUAAAUCAACUUGUUUUGGCCUUAUUAAAAUCUCCAUAUUGUGUUUUUUUUAGGUGCCAGAAGACACAUAAUGAGCAAAAUAAGUAGCUAACACCAUAGUGGAGCCUUCCACACAAGCUUGCAAGGUGGGGAUUUGAUCAAUCUUUGUCAGAAUCGUUAUUUGGUUUGAACAUGUAUGGCUGAAUUACUCCACUAUUACUAUUAAUUUGACACUGUGUAUUGCAGAAUAGCCUUACAGUGUCUGAGCAGAGGUGAGCUGGUGUGCUCAAGCUGCAGCGGGUGGUGAAGAUUUACAUAAAGGUGUGGAUUUUGAUUUGCGUAAAGAGCAUGAAAGGAUAGUUUUGUUGAAAUAUGUAACUCUGAUAGACAGUUUUGAGUCUUUCAGGGUUUAAUCAAUGACUGGAAAGGAGUUUUAAUCGUUCACAGACCACAGUUCUGAAAAUCAAAUAGAAAGGAGCAAGCAAGAGAUGAUCCAAAAUGCAGCAUUUCUCCUGAGCUAAAAGCAGAGAGCCAGUACAUCCAGCUUACACUUAAAUUAAGUCUUUACUCAAACCUGUGUUUGAAAAAUCAAGAUGUCCACUAUGAGAAAAGGUUUAUUACAUCAGCUUAAGGGAGAAAAAAGUAAACAAAACUUACAGUUGAAUGCAGAAUUAGCAGGGAGCCUCUUGAAAAGACAGCUAGGAAUAAAUCAAACUAAAUAAUAGUAAUGUACGGAGGAAUACCCCUGUGCUGUACUCACCAUCUUUACAGGAAAGUCACACAAAUAGAGGGAAAAGACAAAGGAGAAAGUGAGAAGAGUGUGGUAAAAUAGUUGGCUUAAUUCAAAUUUCACCAACACGGUAAAUGCACUGUUAAAGAACAGGCUCACGCAUUUUCAGUUCCAUCUUCAAAACAACAUUGAAAGCUUUUGUCCAUUAAGAAAACUUUCAAAGUUAGUCUUUUCAGUUUUUCUUUUUGUCCCGUACACUUCCGCUCAACAAGAAAGUGUCCGAGGAAACACAAAAAGGGAAUUCAGUACUGGAUAGUCUGGUACGAACGAACAAAAAGAACUAUUACAUUGACCAAAAACACUGUGUGAACCUAUUCUUUAACAUUUUACAGCCUGUAUGACUUCAGUUACUUAUGAUUUUGAUGUCAACUAAGCUAAAUACCAAGAAUAUUAUUAUGCUGCAAAUACAGAAGUUUUUAGCCAGUUUAAUUUCUCUUAAGUUGUCUUACCUUCCAGGGACAACGGCUCCCAAAUCCCAAACUGUUUGAGCACCACAAUAAAUAGUCCAACAACAACAGCAAUGGCAAUUACUUCCAUGCCAUCCAAACCCAUUGUUGCCUUGCAUUAGAUGUCACCUCUGCAAAACCUUCUUCCAAAAAAAAAUUCCUUAAUUCUAACAAACCUUUCCCCAAUUCAAAACUGAGCAGCUUGCAUCUACAGACGUCACCUGCUGCCUAUCAUCUCCUUCUUCCAGUCGCCUCCUUUUAUCUUUUUAAUCAGUGCAAUAGUACCAGCAUCAGCAGUUAUUGCCAGACUUGAACCGCUGACCAAUUAGGACAAAAGCUAGCGGAGUGAUGGCUUCGUUAAGUGAACAGGUCCAGCGUCCAUCAAGUGCAAAUAUGUAAAAUCAAAGGUUCUCAGCUGCCUCAAAUCAUCCAAAGUUGCCUCCACUCGAUCCAUCUCGGUUGCUGAUCAGCAACAUUUUCACAGUCCGUUCAUUUUUAGGAUCUUUGCCACAACACCAUCAACUCUGAGCUCCACUUUCCUCCAUCUGCUCCGUCCUGAGCUGUGUGAGCGUUACAUGUGUUUGAGGUUGGUGGUGAGGGUGGCUGGGUGGAGCGAGGGGGCCGUUACUGAAGGAAUUUCUUUACUAAUAGUCUCUGAUUGACAGUCUAAGCGGUCUUUAUUUGCCCAGUCAUUUCAAGGAUGCAAAACUGUAAAACCAAGCAUUGAUCCGCAUCUGCUGAUGGCUGGGAUAUGAACAGCACUUAGAAUCGGCCCUGCCCUGUGUGGCGCUGCUCGUGUCUACUGGGUUUGUUUGGCGAUGCGAACACUCAAUAACUCAGAUGGACUCCACUCAGAGCUGAAAAAACAACGAGAGCAAGCGCGACUGUAAAAACAGUGCUUCGUUUAUGGCAUCGUAAUGAAGCUAAAGUGAAUUAUAUCCACGUUGCAGAGAUGCACUGCACGCCUCACAGGUACAUGUUGCUGCCGACGGCCUCGGCAGCUCACAUGCAUGCGUCAAAGUACUUUUUUCCACAAGUCCUACUGCUGCUGAGUCGCUGCAUGAUUAUGCUGUGUUGGAGGAUAAUGAGAGUAAAGAAGAAUAUGAGUUCACAUACUGAUGAGUCUGCACAACGUAAUGGACUCAGUUUAAGUAGGAAAGGGGGGCGGGGAGCAAAUCAAUUGUUGAGAGGUAAAACAUUGGUCUGUGAACAGGCUGAGAAAGUGGGCCAGAUAUGCAUUUCGAUGGCCGGGGAGGCUUUAUGUAAGUUAAAGACUUCAAAUGGAUUCAUCCUUAAUGUCAAGCAGUCAAACAGCUUCUGAAAUAGCGUGAUGCUAUGCCAAAAAUACACAGAAAUCUCAGUCCUGGAGCUGCAGAACACCUCACUGAUAAAGUUGUAUGCUAACAGAAAAAUGUGACUUUUAGCUAAAAUGUGGUAAAAUUAUAAACCAAGGACUAGUUUUAAUUGCUUUGUGCUUUUUGAAUUGCACCAUCCUACAUUUUACGCUCUAUCCUUCUAAUAUCAUAUAACUUUUAUGAGUCAACAGGACAGGAACUAGUUAUCUCAACCAUGCAAAUGUGGAUUUUUGCAAUACUGUCGAUGCGAGGGUCAAUUCUACUCAACCAAACACACCAGAUGUACGAGCUCACGUGGGAACUCGCCCGUCAUAAAAAUAAUGCAACACUAUGCUGUUUAAUGCGUCUUAAGUGCUGAUCUAUCCCUGUUCUUCUAUUAAAUACAGACCUGAGUAAAGGUGGCUUAAGCGUGCAGAGAUGCAGACAGUGCAGCCAUCAGUCUCACCAUCAGGCUUUAAUGACUGCAGUGAGAGCAGCAUUACAGCUCACACACCCAGACCAUCAAUCACAAACUGUCGCUGCUCGUCACUCACAUAACUUUCCCAUCGCUGAAACUUCUUUCUUGGUGCUCGUAGCUCUUUUUUUGGCAAGAAAUUAGCUUUCAUGAGAGGCCUCAUACAGCAAAUACACACAUUGCAGAGUGAAAAGGAUACAAGACGACUUCAUCUACCAUGAAGUUUGACUGUAGUUGAGAGAUGCAACCUGCAUGAUAUUCUGGGAUGUCUUCAGCUAACAGCUGCAAGGAAAUACCUCAAUAAGGGGACAGAGCCAUUUUUCCUUCACAAUGUUAAUUUCAAAGUUGAAAAGUUAAAGGCUUUUAUUUAAAUAGUCUUUGUUUAAACUGCUGCUGAUUCAGCUCCAAAAAUCAACUCUGUGUAUCAGAGGUGCAUUUUAAGAAGCUUUUUCCAGAAAGUAAUCCUGUCCUGCAUUAAAAGGCCUUAAAUUUAAAGGAUCUAUGAAGUCCCCACCUCCCUCUCACUGCAGCUCAAGCACACCAGUUCACUUCUCUGCUUUAAUACUGUAAAUCUAUUCUGUACUACACAAUAGCAAGUAGUACUAUUGGAGUAAUUCAGCCAUAUGUAUUCAAAUGAGUUCUGAAGAGUAAUAGUGACAUGGAAAUCCCCAAUCUGCUAGUGGAUUGGAUUGAUUCUUUAGGUUUGUUACCUAUGAAACCCAAAACUCCGUGUUUUUACUGCAACUUGAAGGUGGAAAUGCUCAAAACUUGACUUUUACCAGAGCUGGUCUUGAAAAUUUAGAUUUUUUUGUGUCUGGAUGGUGAAGACUGGCAUCAACCCUCUUUUACUUCUGCACUUAAUGCAUGCUUUGUGUCUGAUUUAGCUGUAAUAAAUGAAACCUGUAGUAAGUAAA